UCAGCUUCUUCAUCUGAAAAAUGGGGUACAUAAUGUCUGACAUACCUUACAGGAGGUUGUGAGGAUCAAAUAAUAAAAUAGAUGAAAUAUUCUUUGACUGAAGACUAUACAACAUGUGCAGCUUGCUCCCUGAUUGUUCAAGUUAUUCAUCUCAUGUGUUAUGUCUGAAGAAAGAGCACCAUCAACACAGCCUUGGGGAAUGUUGGCCACUGAAAGCUCUCUCAGCUGAGUUUCUCUCAAAGGAAUUGC
Choloepus didactylus (southern two-toed sloth) is the source of this 249-nucleotide long non-coding RNA. RefSeq lists it as uncharacterized. The record is from RefSeq and is a predicted model, not a curated record. NCBI's taxonomy places the organism in Eukaryota, Metazoa, Chordata, Mammalia, Pilosa, Megalonychidae. The transcript has 3 exons.